CGUGGCCAGGCCGAGCUGAGUUCUUCGCUUGUUGCUCUGACGUCGGCGUCCUGCGUCCAUUCCAGGGAGGCCAGGCCGCCUUCGCCUCGUCGCCGCCGCCGUCUGGAGGACAGGCGCGCGCACCCAAAAGAGAUCGACCACCAAAUAGUCAAGAGGAAGGACCUUCUCCACGACGAAUCUUGCCCUCUCGGCCUCCUGCUGGGCCACCUGCUUCAUCUCCACAGCCUCUGUGAACUCCUUGCCAAACGUCAAGUGUGUCUGUAAGAACACAAACCAGUUAUUACCUACGUUAAACACCCAACAUACACAUGCAACAUAUGGACUAAAACGAGGAUGGCAUUUAAUUUUCCAAAGGUGCCAUGAGAGAAACUGGAAUAGUUUAGGUUUAUUUAUUUAGGACUAUUUAAAAACAGUGUAAGGAGGGAAAAGAAACCGAGAAGGGUUUUACAAGAUUAGACUCCAAUCAGAGAAUCAUAUCAGAUAUCCCAGAAACAAGUAGGACACCAAAAGAAAAGACAAUAGAAAAGGUAUGUUAAAAACAAAAACUUGAAUGCAGUAUACGCAAUUUCAAAAGAGAUAAAAUUAACCAAUGUGAACAGGACAUGGUUAGAUGUGUUUUCAGUGACUUUUUAAAGCCGGCGUAAAUUGGUAUCGAGUUUUGAUCCUCGAAAUGACAUUUUAAUCUGGCAAUGUGACAAUAGUUCAUAAAUGUUAAUAAAAAACUAAUACAAAGUGAGCAGAAGGAUUGAUCAGGGGACAAGCCUUUUUCAGAGUACCAAUUGUCAUAGAUCUAUUGGUUAUGAGGUUAACAUGGAUGUUCCAAUUUAGACUUUCAUCCAAGACAAUACCCAGAAACUUAGUAUGAGAUACGAGUGUGAUUUCAGCUCCAUUAAUUAAUAUUUUAGCUUGUUCUUUUAAGUGUGAUGCAUUUUUACCACAGAAUAUCAUAUAAUUACAAUUUUUAACAUUAAGACUUAGGUUAUUAAUCCGAAGCCAAUUAAAAGCAGCUGAUAAAUCAGUGCUUACAAAUUCAAUAAGAGAUUUAAAGUCUAACAGCGAGUAGACUGGUAUCAUCGUCAAAUAAGAAGGGGAGAAGAUUAUGGCAAGACAUACGCAGGUCAUUAAUGCAAGUUAAGAAUAAUAAAGGGGCCAAAAAUUGAUCCCUGUGGCAUCAGAGAAGAAAUUGUACAGGGCAACGCCAACACGCUAACCUCAAUUGUGUGACAUAUUUUAUUGUACAUCGGCCCCUGACUUAAGAGUAAGUUAACGUAUGUGUUUUUCCAGAUAUGAGCCAUAGCUCGGCUAAUUUUCUGCUUUGACUUGCGGGCAAAAAUGAGAGAUUCAAGCACUAGAUGUUGGCAGAAAACUCAACUCACUUCAGAAGAAGCAGCAGUUUGGCAAAUAGUGCACAAUUUUUGGGGGGGGGGAAAAAAAAAAAAAAAAAAAAAAAAAGAGGCUUCAAGCUGGUUACUGCCACUUCCAGUUGGAAUUUACUGUCAAACUAACCAUCAAACAAAAAGAAUUACGCAUCAUGUAUUUAAAAUAAUAACACAACUUUGCUUUAGGGAACGUUCGCUAGCUUAAUGCUAACACACAAUACUAUGAUGUAGACUGCGGACUGACCCCAAACCAGCGAUGUGUGUAGGGAAAAAAAAAAAAAAACGUUUUGUGUGUAUGUGUAUCUGUUUGACUUUGUAUUAGAUGUACAAUACAGCUUAUGUGUCCUUGCCUGUACACCCUAUCAGUCCUCUUAAACACAUCUGCAAAAAAGUACAUCAGGUUCAACCUAUGGUAGUGUGUGACAGAUGACAGGAAGUUGACAGCUGUCAAGUGUCAAAAGUAGCUAGCAGCUAGCGAUCACAGCAGUUACACACUACUAAACAUUGAGUGGGGGUACGAGGCAAGAAGACCUGCAAUUUUCACCCUGAAAUGGGAGGAAGAGUAUUUUUUUGUUUAUUCUCAGUCAAAGCCUGUUUUUUUUAUGUGCAAUGCAAUUGUGGUAUUGGCAAAGAAAGGGAAUCUGGAGCGUCAUUUUAAAACAGCACAUGGGAGCUACGAGAGGGAUUUCCCGUCAAACACGCCUUUAUAAAAAAGUGUGUGAUUUCUAAGCACAGCUUGCAGCACAGCAGUCAAUCUUCAUCAUACUGAAGACCCAGGGUAAUUCCUCAAGCAUUGCUUCCUAUCGCGUCAGUCACGCCCUUGCUAAUUAAAAGAAGCCAUUUGAAGACGGUGCUUUUGUGAAGGAAGUCUCAGAAGAUACCCUUUUUGUCAACUUUCAAAAUAAACAAAGAUCGUGAAAUUCAAACAAGUUCAACUCUCCCGCAAUACAAGGCGACAUGAGGGUGUGGCUGUAAAGGUGCAACUGAGGAAGGAUACUGACAGUGGGUCCAUGGUAUACAAUGGAUGCAGGAGUGCAACAUUUCUUCAUACCAGUGAAACGUCAUCCAAGAUGAGGCCGAAGGUGGAGGCUCUUUCUGUGAGGUCCUCACUGACCUGGCGAGAGACAAGCUCUCUCUGCGUGAUGAGCUCGCAGGCGUCAAACCGAGCCUUAAAAAGAACAACCCAUCACAUUCCUCGCCAAUGCUGGUGAAGAUGCGUGGGAGCUGCGUGCUCACUGGCCGGAAGAGGAUACGCAACGUGAUGUUGACAUUCUGGAGAUCUGUGGGAGGGAACGAUCUCAUGUCAACCUACAGGGGAGGUGAAGGCUACACUGAAUCCAUAUAUUUUUACAUUUAGUGUAGGGCUAACGACUUACCUUUGCUUCCCUGUGAUGACGGGCACGUUUCGGGGACGGGAGCGACAGUCGAACAUUAUGGGCUUCUGCACCCAAGGGAUGAUGAAGUGAGUGCCCUCGCCGACCACUGCUUCCUGCACGCCCCGGAACCUGUCGAAUAUCACCGCCUGGUGGCCUGCAUCAACUGUCACAGGAAGAAGAGGGGGAGUUAUUUCCCAGAAGUUUUUUUUUUUUUCUAAAUGUUUUGAGAAUAAUUCUUUUUUGAAAAACAUGCCUUAAAAGUAAAAGAAAACCACCAUUAUGAGAGAUGGCAGCAAAUCUUAUUAGACCAGGUCAGUGCACAUCGAAAAGAUUAACUGUUUAGGCUUACUGUGUGUUUUGUGGAUGCCAGUACAGGGAUGGCAUAGGGAAAGUGGGACGAUACCAACAGAAAUGGAAAUAAAACUUUUUGUGACACAGGUUAUAUUUAUAUUGCAGGUGCGAGUGCCCAAUUCUGAUAGAAUGCCUAUAUCCAUUUUAUUUUAUUUUACUGUUUAGUGUCAUGUACAUUUCAAGUGACAUAUCCCAUAUGGCGGUGUUUACAUUGACGGAAGACAUGAAACAACCCGCAUGUGCAGACACCCAAAUAAGUCCAGAAGCAUCAACAUGAAAGUAAACAAUAAUUAUUAGGCUUGUCCUGAUCACCUUUUUUUGUACCAGAGUACAAGUCGAUGUUGAUUAAGUCUUGAUUUUGAGUAUCUGCCAAUACAGAGUCCGUUCCGAUACCUUGGCAACGCAAGCUUUAACAUAGUAUGCAAGAUUCCGAUAUUUGAGUGCAUUUGAUUUCUUCCUUAGUAAACAAUACAUCCACUAUACAUAGUUAUGACUCAAUGCAGGUGCGUGGUUGGUGGGUGAGUGCUCGACUCCUCUCAUCUACAAACAACCCUAUUUAUUGAAUUGCAUCAUCAAAUGCAACCAGUGGGGCACAAGUUUACCUGUCAUCAGCGAGUUGUUUGGCCACACUGUAUAUUACAUUAGACUUCACAAGCUUAGUUUAUAGUAUCUUAUGACUUGCUCUAAAUGUCUGCUGUGUAGACAAAAUGUUUCCACAUCUCACUUCAUGUUCCUUUUUUCAUAAUGAGCUUCAGACAAGUGUGAAGGCCAUAUUUUGAGGCCUGAAUCUGAUCUGAAGAUACUCGUGUUUUUUUUUUCUUUCCAUAUUCGCGCUGUCAUGACACAUAUUCCGACUGUGCCACUUGGGAGCCCAAAAAAUAAAAAUCAAAUAAAACAUU
Long non-coding RNA from Phyllopteryx taeniolatus (common seadragon), 4005 nucleotides. RefSeq lists it as uncharacterized. The transcript has 4 exons. NCBI's taxonomy places the organism in Eukaryota, Metazoa, Chordata, Actinopteri, Syngnathiformes, Syngnathidae. The record is from RefSeq and is a predicted model, not a curated record.